This is a long non-coding RNA of Neodiprion virginianus, 141 nucleotides long. RefSeq lists it as uncharacterized. The record is from RefSeq and is a predicted model, not a curated record. Lineage: Eukaryota; Metazoa; Arthropoda; Insecta; Hymenoptera; Diprionidae. The transcript has 3 exons.
AAAAUUACGCAACACAUCGCAUAAACCCUUAGAUUGAAUCUCUGCAAUUGUAAAUACAAAUCUUUCCUCGAUAAUUACGUCACGUAAUCUGCUUUUGAAUAAAAGAAAAAAAAAAAAAACAAAAAAAAAAAAUAUAAAAAC